AAAGGUGAAGCUUUUACAGCAUUUAACUGUUAAUUAAAAGAAGCACGAAGUGCCACCUUUU
RNAcentral lists this transfer RNA (61 nucleotides) under Protaeolidiella atra. RNAcentral's name for it is "tRNA-Asn". The record is from RNAcentral. Lineage: Eukaryota; Metazoa; Mollusca; Gastropoda; Nudibranchia; Aeolidiidae.